GGGGCAAGUAGAUAGAUAAUAUACAUGGAAUCACAUCUCCAUUUGAGAUUCUACAGAAGCCAGGACUUUGCAUCUCUCAUCAUAAUUACAUAUGCCCAUAUCAGCACAAGUGAGUGUAUAUGGGCUGGCUAGUAGGGCAUGAGCACAUUGAGGAUAGAUUUGUUCUCUCUCCUCAUAAAAGUGAAUUGGAUAAGAAUGAUAAAGCCUGUG
RNAcentral lists this unclassified non-coding RNA (210 nucleotides) under Hevea brasiliensis (rubber tree). The record is from RNAcentral. Lineage: Eukaryota; Viridiplantae; Streptophyta; Magnoliopsida; Malpighiales; Euphorbiaceae.